UUCUUAUCGAGAGAGGCGGAGGGACUGACCCUGUGAGGCCUCGGCAACCAGCAUAUCAUGCCCGGUGCCAAUUUCAGAGGAAUUUUAACAAUUCCGUAGAUAAGAA
This 106-nucleotide non-coding RNA is filed under the name Bacillus sp. (in: firmicutes). Its description in RNAcentral is "Bacillus sp. SAM-I sequence". It matches the Rfam family "SAM riboswitch aptamer (S box leader)". From Rfam's summary of the family: The SAM riboswitch is found upstream of a number of genes which code for proteins involved in methionine or cysteine biosynthesis in Gram-positive bacteria. The SAM riboswitch acts at the level of transcription termination control. Lineage: Bacteria; Bacillati; Bacillota; Bacilli; Caryophanales; Bacillaceae. The record is from RNAcentral. RNAcentral also lists the same sequence under 1 other name.